CACGUGCCCUCAAGCUGGGAGGGCACGCUAAGGAAAUAACCAGCCAUAAAUUCCACAUCCACACAGUUUGUGUGAGGGGAAGCAGAACAGCCAUGCAGAAUUAGCCAGAAUAACUGCUUCCAGAGGUCUGUGGCAGUAUGGGAAACCUAGACCUCCUGAAAUGUUCAGAUCUGUGGGUAAUUAACUAUUUACUGCCCUUUCCAGAGGAUCUGACCUUUGCAGACACUUGAGCACAUCUGCGAUGAAAACCUCCAGCAAAGCUGUUAGUUCAGUGUCAGCUCAGUUUAAAUCAGCUCGGGAGAGGUGUGAAGAAAGAAGCACACCCUCCUCAAUCCUCAGCUCUGGAGCAGCAAGCCACACUUCCUCCACAGCCUUCUCUUGUUCAGCUCCCCAAUUGUCAAAAUA
Molecule: long non-coding RNA, 405 nt
Organism: Passer domesticus (house sparrow)
Lineage: Eukaryota; Metazoa; Chordata; Aves; Passeriformes; Passeridae
Exons: 3
Source: RefSeq, a predicted model, not a curated record